Non-coding RNA from Schistosoma margrebowiei, 47 nucleotides. Lineage: Eukaryota; Metazoa; Platyhelminthes; Trematoda; Strigeidida; Schistosomatidae. The record is from Rfam.
AUCCAGUUGAUGAGUCUCAAAAAUAGGACGAAACACGCGUCAUGUAU